RNAcentral lists this ribosomal RNA (467 nucleotides) under uncultured bacterium. RNAcentral describes it as "partial 16S ribosomal RNA". It matches the Rfam family "Bacterial small subunit ribosomal RNA", at positions 29 to 507 of the family's 1533-position model. The record is from RNAcentral.
ACGAACGCUGGCGGCGUGCUUAACACAUGCAAGUCGAACGGAAAGGCCCUGCUUUUGUGGGGUGCUCGAGUGGCGAACGGGUGAGUAACACGUGAGUAACCUGCCCUUGACUUUGGGAUAACUUCAGGAAACUGGGGCUAAUACCGGAUAGGAGCUCCUGCUGCAUGGUGGGGGUUGGAAAGUUUCGGCGGUUGGGGAUGGACUCGCGGCUUAUCAGCUUGUUGGUGGGGUAGUGGCUUACCAAGGCUUUGACGGGUAGCCGGCCUGAGAGAGUGACCGGCCACAUUGGGACUGAGAUACGGCCCAGACUCCUACGGGAGGCAGCAGUGGGGAAUAUUGCACAAUGGGCGGAAGCCUGAUGCAGCAACGCCGCGUGCGGGAUGACGGCCUUCGGGUUGUAAACCGCUUUCGCCUGUGACGAAGCGUGAGUGACGGUAAUGGGUAAAGAAGCACCGGCUAACUACGUG